Molecule: ribosomal RNA, 500 nt
Filed under: uncultured bacterium
Lineage: Bacteria
Description: bacterial SSU rRNA
Rfam family: Bacterial small subunit ribosomal RNA
Source: RNAcentral
AACGAACGCUGGCGGCGUGCCUAAUACAUGCAAGUCGAGCGGAAUGAUGAAGAAGCUUGCUUCUUCUGAUUUUAGCGGCGGACGGGUGAGUAACACGUGAGCAACCUACCUUGUAGAUUGGGAUAACUCCGGGAAACCGGGGCUAAUACCGAAUAAUCCAUUUUGCUUCAUGGCGAGAUGUUGAAAGACGGUUUCGGCUGUCACUACAAGAUGGGCCCGCGGCGCAUUAGCUAGUUGGUAGGGUAAUGGCCUACCAAGGCGACGAUGCGUAGCCGACCUGAGAGGGUGAUCGGCCACACUGGGACUGAGACACGGCCCAGACUCCUACGGGAGGCAGCAGUAGGGAAUCUUCCACAAUGGACGAAAGUCUGAUGGAGCAACGCCGCGUGAGUGAAGAAGGUUUUCGGAUCGUAAAACUCUGUUGUAAGGGAAGAACACGUACGAGAGUAACUGCUCGUACCUUGACGGUACCUUAUUAGAAAGCCACGGCUAACUACGGG